This 120-nucleotide ribosomal RNA is filed under the name Ipomoea nil (Japanese morning glory). Lineage: Eukaryota; Viridiplantae; Streptophyta; Magnoliopsida; Solanales; Convolvulaceae. The record is from RNAcentral.
GGAUGCGAUCAUACGCAGCACUAAUGCACCGGAUCCCAUCAGAACUCCGAAGUUAAGCGUGCUUGGGCGAGAGUAGUACUAGGAUGGGUGACCCCCUGGGAAGUCCUCGUGUUGCAUCCC